AGUGAACGCUGGCGGCAGGCCUAAUACAUGCAAGUCGAACGGCAGCACAGUAAGAGCUUGCCCUUACGGGUGGCGAGUGGCGGACGGGUGAGGAAUACAUCGGAAUCUACUAUUUCGUGGGGGAUAACGUAGGGAAACUGACGCUAAUACCGCAUACGACCUACGGGUGAAAUCAGGGGAUCUUCGGACCUUGCGCGAUUCAAUGAGCCGAUGUCGGAUUAGCUAGUUGGCGGGGUAAAGGCCCACCAAGGCGACGAUCCGUAGCUGGUCUGAGAGGAUGAUCAGCCACACUGGAACUGAGACACGGUCCAGACUCCUACGGGAGGCAGCAGUAGGGAAUCUUGGACAAUGGGCGCAAGCUUGAUCGAGCCAUACCGCGUGAGUGAUGAAGGCCUUCGGGUCGUAAAGCCCUUUUGUUGGGAAAGAAAAGCAGCGUGUUUAUCCAUCGCUGUUCUGACGGUACCCAAAGAGUAAGCACCGGCUAACUUCGUG
This 492-nucleotide ribosomal RNA is filed under the name uncultured bacterium. Its description in RNAcentral is "partial 16S ribosomal RNA". It matches the Rfam family "Bacterial small subunit ribosomal RNA", at positions 29 to 507 of the family's 1533-position model. The record is from RNAcentral.